RNAcentral lists this ribosomal RNA (554 nucleotides) under Synlestes weyersii. Its description in RNAcentral is "SSU rRNA". It matches the Rfam family "Eukaryotic small subunit ribosomal RNA", at positions 611 to 1138 of the family's 1831-position model. The record is from RNAcentral. Lineage: Eukaryota; Metazoa; Arthropoda; Insecta; Odonata; Synlestidae.
UGUGCGGUUAAAAAGCUCGUAGUCGGAGGUGUGUCUCGGACGGUUGGUUCGCUGCUUGUCGGUGCUUAACUGGCCGGUCCGGACGUCCUGCCGGUGGGGAUGUCAAAAGUCCCCGUUAUCCUUCUUAGGUGCUCUUCACCGAGUGCCUUGGUGGGCCGGCACGUUUACUUUGAACAAAUUAGAGUGCUCAAAGCAGGCCGUUGGUCGCCUGAAUACUGUGUGCAUGGAAUAAUGGAAUAGGACCUCGGUUCCAUUUUGUUGGUUUUCAGAACUCGAGGUAAUGAUUAAUAGGGACGGACGGGGGCAUUCGUAUUGCGACGUUAGAGGUGAAAUUCUUGGAUCGUCGCAAGACGAACCGAUGCGAAAGCAUUUGCCAAGAACGUUUUCGUUGAUCAAGAACGAAAGUUAGAGGUUCGAAGGCGAUCAGAUACCGCCCUAGUUCUAACCAUAAACGAUGCCAGCUAGCCAUCCGCCGAAGUUCCUUCUAUGACUCGGCGGGCAGCUUCCGGGAAACCAAAGCUCUUGGGUUCCGGGGGAAGUAUGGUUGCAAAGCU